GAUUUGUGUCUAAAAUCAAGCAAUCAUAAUUAAGGAGUUUUAAGAUUUGAAUUUACAACUCUUAUCUUAUCAAAUUGUUGAACAUCAUCAUCUUCUUUAAUUUAUUUUUGAGGUAAGUUUAAUUUCUUAAUUUUUUUAACUUUACUAAAUCAAACAUCUACAAAUUACUUAUUGUAUGUGCGUAAUUCCCAAAAUUUAAGCAUAGUAAUAGAGUCUGGUCUAAUUUUAGAGAAAAUAGAUCGAAACACCAAAACGAUCCCGCCAAGAUAAAGAAGUCGAGGGAAGUUGGUCGUACAAAUUCUAAAAAGCUCGUUGCUAAAUCUUCAAGUAAGAUAAAAAAUAAAGAAUCAUCACGAUUGCAUCUUCAAAAGGUACAGUGAUUUGUUGCUGAAUCUAUAUUUUUUAUCGAUUUACGCAUUCUUAUACAUUGUUAUAUAAGAGCGUUUUGUUGUUAUUUCAACCUAAUACAUACAUUAGUUAUGUAUAGUGUUAGAGACACCUUCUUAUACAUUAAAUUUUUUAUGAAUAUGGUCAUAUUACUUCGUAAAUUCAAGUUGUUAUUUUGAACUAAGAUACAUAGUGAGUUAUGUAUAUAUUUGUCGUUAUGUCAUUUGUUAGACGUUUUAUUUCAACCAAUAUACAUAAAUCUGUUAUGUAUAUGUAUUGAAACAGACACUGCUGGGCUAUUUAAUUUCAGGUCAUAUACUUUAUAGAGUUCUGAAUAUGUUAUGCAUCAAUAAUGUUAUACAUAGCACAGUUAUGUAUGGCUCUGUUAGACAAAAUGAGUUGUGUGUAUUUCAGUCCAUAUACAUAGCAGUGUUUUGUAUAUGAAAGAACGUUAGGCAUGUAGAUGAUGAGUUAUCUUUAUGUUUUCAAGUUUUGUUUCAUAUUGUUAUGUAUAUGUGAUGCCUGAGAUGUGUAUUUUGCAAACCCAUAUGUAUGAGAGUUGGGGUCCAAUGCUGUCAUGUUCUUCAAAUCUUAUAAGAAUUCAUUUUUUUUAUUUCAAAUUUUUCAUACUUACGUUGUAAAAUUUUCUUUAUUUGUAGACUAGGUAGUACAAUUUUUUGUAGACCUACGUAAUAAAAUUUUCUUUAUACGAGUCUUUUUUAACAAAAAAAAUUUAUGUCUCUUUAUUUUAUAAGUAUCUUUUUUCUUCGGUUCUAAAAUUUUCUAAGUGCUUUAUGUAGUAAAUUUUCUUUAGGAGUAUAUUUUUUUAGAAAAUUUACAUAAUUAAAAGAUUCAUUAAUCAUACAUUAACAAGAUAUAAUAUUGAAUAAUUAUUAAACUUGAUUUAUUUUAUUAAAUAUCAUUUUAGAUAAUUAUUAGCCUUGAUUUAUUUCUUUAAAUAUCAUUUUGGAUAACUAUUAGACUUGAUUUAUUUUCUUAAAUAUCGUUAACGAAGUUAGCUAUGAUACAUAAAAUACUUAUGUAUAUUAACGUUCAGUAAUGUAUAUAUGAACAAUUAAAAUUUGAGAGAGAAAAAAUUUUAUUAAAAAACCGAGAAAGAAGGUACUUAAUAAGCAAACUAGUGGAAUUUAUGAAAAUUGUCCAUAAAAAAAUGGCAUUAAUAAAGGUGGUAGGUGAUCCUAAUUAUAUGAACCAAUUUGAUGUUUAUGAGAUUAUUUGGAUAAAUUCGGUGAAAUUUUUUUUGGAAUUGGAUAAGUUCUUAACAAAAUAAUAUGUUUGUGAGCAAAGGAAGUUAUAAUCAAAGUUUACUUGUAUUUACAUAUAUCGAGUUAUGAAAACAUGGUGUUUUUGAGAUUACUAAAAUUGUUCGAAUUUUAAUUAUAUGUUUAUAACUACUGGCAUUGCUAAGUUACAAAAAUAUUAUUCACCUGCUUCAAGGAAGUUAAAAAAAUGAGGGUUAUAGUGUCUUACUGAGAUGUCAAAGAUUUUUAUUUUUUUUUUCAAAAAAGUAAUGUUUUAGUUGGUCUUAUUAUUCAAAAUGGUUUUAAAAAUUAAGAUGAAAAUUUUGAUAUAUUUUAAUGUAAAAAUUUGUAUAUUACAUACGAAAUUGAAUCCUUUAUAAAUUGUGAUAAAUCUAUUCUCCUAGUUUGAAAUAUUUGAAAGUAUGGGAUAAUCUAGCUAAAGUUGUGCUAUGUGGUUCCAAUAAAAGAAUAAUUGGAUCUAAGUUUUUAUUUUUUUGUAUGUCUAUAUUAUGAUGAGAUUGAAUGCAAUGUUUUAUAGUGAAAAAAAAUUAUUGUUGAGUUUGUAGAAGAAUAUUUUAUAUUUUUGUUGAUGAUAAUAUGGAUAUUAAGUAUUGUGAAUUUUCUAUUGUAUUUGAAGUAUACAAUGAUGCAAUGUGAAUCCUAAAAUUAUUAGUGAUUAUUUGUUUAUUAUUGAUGUGGGAUUUCAUAACGUGAAAAUCAACAAAAUAGAGUAAGUUGAUCUUUUGAAGUUUGUUAGAGAUGAGGCUAAGUAGUUAAGACAACUCUUUGUGAGUAUUCCAAGUGGAACAAAACCAACAUCUUUUAUGUUUAUAUGUAUUGUGGUUGGCAGGCAAUAAAGUUGAAGUGUAAAUAAACUUUUCAAUGGUAAUAGAACACGUGUUUGAGACAUAAUGUGAUAAAGUAGUUGUAAUAGAUGAAAUUAUUUACGUACAUAAAUUAUAUAUAGUCAGAGACAAAUUUGAUCAAUUCAAAGACUGAAAAAAAAUAUCGAGGGGGAGUGAAAUGUUUAGUCAAUUUGAGAAGAUUAACAAUGAUGGUAACUCAAUCGAUGUGAUUGGAGAUCUCAUGAAUUAAGUUCAUAUGGUAAUAACAAGUCAUUAGUUUAUCAAGUAUGCACUACAAAAUAAUGUCUUUCCUAUGAUGUGUGAAUCUAGUGCAGUGUUGCAAGGCAAAGUGAGGGUUAACUUAUACUCUUAAUUCAAAUCAUAUUCUUUAUAGUUGGAGUACUACUCUGCAGAAUACACUUGAUGAUAGGACAUAUGAGUGUGGAGCGGUGUCACUUCUAUGAAAUUUUGACAAAUUUUUAGAGCAUUCAUGAAUACGAGGAGAUACACAAAUCUCUUAGCACAAAAUCGCGAUAAUGACAAAGAUUGUAUGAGUACUGCUAUAUGCAGUUUUGAUGUGAGAAGCUAAACUUUAAGGGACCAGGUCCCUGGACGUGCAAAGUACUGUAUAGCUGGCACACGAUAUCUAUAUAGUUUUGUCAUCUUGUGUACUAAUCUGAUGAUAUUUCAUCCCUAAUCAUCACACAUCUAUAAAAGAAAAGAUACGUCUUUUCAACAAUCAUUUUUGCCAAUUCUAAAUAGAGAAAAGUGAGGCAGCAAAAACUCCAUUUCAAGACUGCUCAAGCAUUGCUCAUGUUCUUAACUUUGUACUUUGCUUAAAUAAUGAGUGAGUGCUUUUGAGUGUUGAUUUGUAAAAUAAUUACUCAAAGCUAUAAGAGUAACGUCUUGUUUUUCAUUGAGAGUGCUGCUUAGGUAGAGUUGUCUAAGCUUAAGACUGAUUAGAGCUAAUCAGUUUAGAGAGAGUCCUUGGUAGAGUUACCGGAAUGAGAUGGUAGUAGAGUUGCUGCUAGCACAAAGAGCCUAGAGUUGGCUAAAAUCUAGACUGUAAUCAGGAGGUUGAUUAUAGUGGAUUUUGUUGGUACUUGUAAGGGCAAGCCAUGAUUUUUCCCAUCCUAAAUUUCCACGUAAAAAUUCUUGUGUCUUUUACUCUUUCUGCACUAUCUUUAGUUUUCGUGCACUUAUUGUUUGAUCGUCUGUGAUUGAUUCUGAGGGACCUGGUCCCUUACUGUGUAGAGCAACCCCAAAGGUUUCAUCAAUUGGUAUUAGAGCCUGGUCACUUGUAACACCCCAAGUUUGUACCCCGGACGCUACAUGGUGUUCAUAAUCUCGAAGGACCACAAGCUAACCCAUGAUUGAUACCUGCUGCAGUAACUGAAUAAUAUCACUGUAAAGUAUGCGAAAAUUAGGUGGAAACUGGACAUAAGGUACAAUACUAUAAAUAAAUACUGUAUACUGAAAUCUGAAUACGGUAUAAUAAUACCAAAACUUAAUCAUCUGUUUGAAAAAUACUCUAGUCUGAAAAGGCUCUACUAUCUGAAUCAUGGAGCUGAUGGGACAAGUCCCCAACUAACUCCAACUACUAAAAAUUGUACUGAUAAACUGAAAUACUGAAGAAAAUAAUCAUGUUCGCAAACUAUGAGGACUCACCACUAACUCUGACUACUGAAGAUUUGAACUGCUAAAGGUGCUCGGGAGCCCAUGCGUUUGAACCUAUGAUAUAAGACAUUAUAGCGUAAAAGAAAGGUAUGCGUCAGUACUUUGAAUGUACCGGUAUUCUAAGUGAGGUAGGCUGAGAUCCAUGGGUUUAUAUACAUAAACAAUACUGACUGAAAGACAUGAAUAUAACUGAACGAGAGUACAUGCAUGAGUACGUAAACCAUAACUGAGAUCGUGAUAACACUGGAUACUGAGUUCUUAAUACUGAUUAAUUAAUAUCUGAGUUUACUGAUAUUGUAUUACUAAUAACUGAAUGAUUGUAUCUGACAGUCUUAAUAUUGUGGAACUAUGUUGAGUUCCGUACUGAGCUGAGUGACUUUGUCUGACAAUCAUGAAUCUGUAGAACUGAACUGAGUUCUAUACUGAGACUAAAUCUGAAACUGAGACUGUGGGAAGUAAUCAUCUAACCAACAUGCCCCAAAUAAGAUAAUUGAGUUGGGGUCCAAUCUGUAACCCCAAUUGAAAGGGUAUCAGUACCAUGACACAGGUAAAGACGACUAGUUGUGGGGUCAGUCCUAGUCUAACGGGUGAUCCCUGAGUAUUUCAGUCCUAUCUAACGGGUGACAUCUCAUAACCUAUGCUAGAUACGUAGUUCUGGAACUUAGGGAUUACUUCUAGGGACCUAUUCCUAGCUAACGGGUGAGCCCCCAUCCCUUGGCUCGCUUGGUGCUGAAUCCUACUCCCAACUGAAAGACACUGAAAUUAUUCCUAGACUAUACUAGGCUUGAUUGAACUGUUCUUGAUCGUACUGUUUAACUAAACUGAACUAAGUUCACUGAGUUCCGUUGACUGACGGAAUACUACUGG
Molecule: long non-coding RNA, 5038 nt
Filed under: Capsicum annuum
Lineage: Eukaryota; Viridiplantae; Streptophyta; Magnoliopsida; Solanales; Solanaceae
Description: long non-coding RNA (CANN_LNC004828)
Source: RNAcentral